Molecule: ribosomal RNA, 253 nt
Filed under: uncultured bacterium
Lineage: Bacteria
Description: partial 16S ribosomal RNA
Rfam family: Bacterial small subunit ribosomal RNA
Source: RNAcentral
UACGUAGGGCGCAAGCGUUAUCCGGAAUUAUUGGGCGUAAAGAGCUCGUAGGCGGUUUGUCGCGUCUGCUGUGAAAGACCGGGGCUCAACUCCGGUUCUGCAGUGGGUACGGGCAGACUAGAGUGCAGUAGGGGAGACUGGAAUUCCUGGUGUAGCGGUGAAAUGCGUAGAUAUCGGGAGGAACACCAGUGGCGAAGGCGGCGAUCUGGGAAGAUACUGACGCUGAGGUGCGAAAGCGUGGGGAGCGAACAGG